RNAcentral lists this long non-coding RNA (37601 nucleotides) under Erythranthe guttata (spotted monkey flower). RNAcentral's name for it is "long non-coding RNA (EGUT_LNC000107)". The record is from RNAcentral. Lineage: Eukaryota; Viridiplantae; Streptophyta; Magnoliopsida; Lamiales; Phrymaceae.
ACCAUAACGGCACUUCCACCGCCGCCGCCUCGUCCGCCGCCAUAAUUUCCGCCGCCAUUACCACCGCCGCCGCGUUCUCCGCCAUAGUUGCCGCCGCCAUUACCACCGCCACCGUGGUCGCCACCAUAGUUGCCACCGCCAUUACCACCGCCGCCAUAAUUGCCGCCACCAUUACCACCGCCACCGUGUCCGCCACCAUAGUUGCCGCCACCAUUUCCACCGCCUCCUUGGUAUCCUCCAUUUCCGCCUCCUCCGUCAACUUCCGCUGCUGAUUUUAUUAAUUUAGUCAAAAAAUACAUAUUAAUUAGCUACAUUAAUAAGUGACAAAAUAAUCUUUAGGACAUUAAACUACAUUACGUACUUGGGACUAACGUUACGACGACGACGACGACGACGAGAGAGGAAUGAGAGAGAGAGAGAGAGAGAGAGAGAAGGAAAUUCAUCCCUGUUUCAACGGUAGUAGAAGUCUGGGCGAGAUCUCUAGCUGCAGCUUCUGAUGAUAUGAAAAUGACAACCAUAGCUAAGAAAAGAACAAGAAAAACUAUUGCUUUUGAAGCCAUAUUUGAUGAUUUGAUGUGUUGUUACUUGUUUUUGAUGAGAAUACUGUGUAAUUGGCUUCACUAUUUAUAGAAGAAAACUAUACAAGUAGAGGUGUGAUAUUUGUAUAUAGAGCGCUGUGGAAGAGGCGUUAUUUUAAAUGAGUCCAAACACAACCUUAUCUUUCAUUAAUUAAUUAAUUGCAUAUAUCUCUUAUCCAUUCUUGAUCACAUACAUGCAGACCCACACCCAUACAUAUUAUAUAACAAAGCAAAUUCUGCAGAGAUAUUAAUACUAUGGGGACAUGCAUACACUUGUCUAUCAUGUGUGACCGUACUUCCUAUAAAAAAUAAAAUAAAAAAGGGGUGACUGUAGUAGUGUACUAACUAAUGGGAAAUCUGAAUUUUAUGCCGACCUAAAAUUACUCUUCCUUUAUGGUUACACUAAGGGACGGAAUCAAGAAAUUAUAGUUGGGGGUCCAAAAUAAUAAAUAUCUAAAAAUAUCAGAAAAUAAAAUAAAAUAAUAUUUAAACUCUAUAUGAUAAUAAUAAUGAAAUAAAAUUAUCAUCUGUUUUAUCCACGAAAAAUUCUACCCAAUUAGAAAUUAAAAUUAAUUUACUACAAAAGAACAUUUAUUCGUCUCCGCUAACCCUUCACACAAUGCUGCUAAAGUCGAUAUCUGACAUAAAUCUGGAUGCUUUAUCACAUCUAGAUAAUAAUGUUGCAACUAAAACUUCAAAAGGAGUCUUUCUCGUUAAGUGAAAUCCUCAGGAUAAUAUUUUUCAACAAGAGUGCAAAUAUCAUCUGCAUUAAACGACUUAUAUGAAUUACUAGGAUCUAAAGCGAGACUAAGAGUCAAGAGUUCCAUUGUUUGAUCACAAAAUAUGUUGUUCAACUCUUUCAAUUGAGUGUCUAUUGUGGUAUUGAAGAUAUCAAAAUGAAAAUGAUGCUCAAUAGUAAUAUUAAUAUCUCGAGGUUGAUGAAUCAAUUUUCCUCGGCCUCCUUUAUAAGCACUAUUCAUAUCAGGCAUCUCAAUAUUCAUGCUUUCACAAAAUGAUAUAACAUCACUUAGAAAAGCAUCACAUCCAUUAUCUCUCAAUUUUUGAAGCUAGAUUCAUAGCAUUUAAUAUAUCUUGAGACUUUUGCUGCAAAACUUGGCAAAGAACAUCAGUAAUUCCCAUCACUUCUUUCAUCAACAUCAGAAUAAAGACAAACUGAAAAGAUGUCAUGGUAGUAUAAGCAGAAUCGGCAUCACCACGUUGAGAAAAAUUGGCUCCAUCAACUAUAAUACUUUGAAGCACAAUACGAGGAGCAUUAAACAUUUUUAUUAAGCUACAUAUUGAAGAAAAAUGAGAACCCUAGCGAGUAUUACCUACCCGUUGUAAAGUACGAAUCUGGUUAGCUCAUUUACCGUUGUAAAACGUUCUUGAAGAUAUCAAACAAGAAAUUUCAGCCUGUUGUGCAUUAAUUAACUCACCAUUUCGCUUAGUAGAAGCACCGACAAUAUUGACAAUAGAAUUCAACUUCGUGACAAAUUGAUGCACAAGAAUCACUUCCCUAGAUGCUGUAACUAGAGCCAAUUGAAGUCGAUGAGCGAAACAAUGCACAUAAUAUGCAUAUGGACAAUCCUUCAAAAAUAAUGCUUGCAAUCCAUUCCAUUUACCACGCAUGUUGCUUGCCCCAUCAUAACCUUGGCCUCGCAGAUUGUCAACACUAAGUGCAUGAUGAGAAAGAAUAGUGGAUAACUCACACUUAAGAGUCAAUGCAGCAGUGUCUUUCACACUUACAAUAUCAAAAAAAUGUUCUUGAAGAACACCACCUUUGUCGACAAACCUCAAAACAAGAGCCAUUUGCUCUUUCUUUGAUUCAUCCCGUGCUUUGUCAACUAGAAUGCAAAAUUUUGAAUUACCAAUAUCUUCACGAAUUUUGGUUCGCACUUUUGUAGCAAUAAUAUGCAAUAUCUCCUUUUGAAUCAUUCCAGACGUGUAUUUCAUUAUGAGGAGCUUUUUCCAAAACUGUUUCAGACACUUUUUGAUUAUAACUUGCCAAAAGUUUCACCAUUUCACCAUUCCUUUUGAAUUGGUGGCCGCCGCCACCAAUUCAUUUCUUUUUAUAUUUAAUAUACAUUAGGAGUACCUGGAUCAUAUUUAUACCAUGAAUAAGAGGCAAUAUCACAAAAUAUGUCAAUAAUCCAUGACUCUCAUAAUGUAAACUGCUAGAAUCUCAUAAUUGGUCCUCGCUACCNNNNNNNNNNNNNNNNNNNNNNNNNNNNNNNNNNNNNNNNNNNNNNNNNNNNNNNNNNNNNNNNNNNNNNNNNNNNNNNNNNNNNNNNNNNNNNNNNNNNGAACGUCGAAUUUCAUCUUGUUAAUUAACACGAUAUUGCCAAAUUUAGAGACACUUUCCCGGAUCACGUUCCAAAAUUAAUUCUUGGUUAGAAUCAACUGCGGAAAUUUGCUCAAGUUUAUAAGUCCAUCGUUAUGAGCAGAAGGUUCGACUAUUUCUUGGUCAUCAACAUUGGAACUAUCAACAUCAGCUAUUUUUGGCACUUCAUGAUCACUCUCAAAAAAUGUUCCAAUUGUGGUUUUUUUUAAUCGAUUAGAUUGAUGUGUAGACAUCGCAAUAACAAACCUAGAAUUACAAUUAAAAAAAACGAGUCUUUGAAUUAUUAAGAUGGAGGUAAAAAAAACACGGUGAAAAAAACUCAAUAAACCCCAAAAAUCAAUGAAUACGAUUAUGAAAACGAUAUCCAAUAAAAAAAUUAUAUUAGUUGUAAAUAACCAAUUUAUGAUUAAGUGAACACCGAAAAUCUAGAUAUUCAAACAAACACAGAAAAAUAAAAAAAUCAAAUAUAACAAUAUUAUAUGAAAAUUAAGAAACAAUAACCAUUAAAAAAUCUCAUAAAUACAAGGCAAAUAAACAAUAUAAGAUGAGAUUAAAAAUUGUACAUGCAAGUUUUGGAGCAAAAGAAAAAGUUAGGAAGCCCCUCUUUUUAUAAGUUAUGUUGUUUUAUCCUUUAGUUUGAUGUGGAUAGGACUUAUGAGUUAUUGUCUUGUGAAGAGUUAGUGGGGGACCACAAUUAAUGUACUAGGGUAGAUAAUAGAGACGAAUAUUUUUUCAGUUUUAUUACCCUUGUUUAUAUAUUUUUUUACGUACCAAUCCAAAUAUAACGUAAUAAAGCAUAUUUCAUUAGCUAGAUUGAUAGAAUAUGGUUAAUUCCAACUGUAUUAAUUUACAGAGGUUAACUGUAAUUAUUUAAAUAAGAUCAUUGCUGCAAGAGAAAAAAAUUAUCCAUUCAGUUGAUUGUUAAAUGAACAUUAUUAUUGACGCAGAACGGAAGCACGAUAAAAGAAUUAGGGAAAAUUAGCAAAAACCCCCCAUCUAGAAAAUGUAAUUGAAGGAAAUUGUCUUUCCAAUAAUAAUUAGAGAAAAUGCCCUUAACUAAUAUGUCACCUAGGGGUGCAAGUUGGAACGGAAAUUCCGAUUUCCGCCGGUUCCGAUCCGAAAAUUUCCGAUUUUGGAACAACUUUUUUCAUUCCGAUUUCCGAAAUUCCGAUUUCCGAUUUUUUCCGAUUUUUUUGGAUUGGAAUUGGAAUUAUAUAAAAAAAAAUUGGAAUUUCCAAUUUCCGAUCCGAUUAUUUCCGAAAUUAAUUCCGAAAAAAAUCCGAUUUUUUUCCAAAAAAUACAUCUUUGAGUAAUAUAUAUAUAUAUAUAUAUAUAUAUAUAUAUAUAUAUAUAUAUAUAUAUAUAUAUAAUACUUAUUUUACAUUAUUUAGUUGUAUUUAUUCUUUAUGGGCCAUGUCACCUAAAAAAGCCCUAGCUUAUUUUAUGUAAAACCCUAGUUUUACGUUUAUUAUUUUUUGUGCAAAGUUAAAGAGUCAUGAUUUUUAUUUUUAGCAAAUUAUGAAAUUUUCAGCGAAGUUUCGAAAUUUUAAUACUUAUGUCAUUUCCGAAAAUUUUCCGAAAUUCCGAAAUUUCCGGGCCUUUUGGAAUUGGAAUGAAUUUUUAGAUUCCGAAAAUUUUGGAAUUGGAAUUGGAAUUGAUUUUGUACUUCCGCACUUUUUUGGACAUAUUCCGAAAAGGCUAAUUCCGAUCCGAUCCUUCCGACUUUCAGCCCUAAUGUCACCUNNNNNNNNNNNNNNNNNNNNNNNNNNNNNNNNNNNNNNNNNNNNNNNNNNNNNNNNNNNNNNNNNNNNNNNNNNNNNNNNNNNNNNNNNNNNNNNNNNNNNNNNNNNNNNNNNNNNNNNNNNNNNNNNNNNNNNNNNNNNNNNNNNNACUCUUGUUUAUUAUUUAUGUUCAUAAUCAAAACCCUAGCACAAUACGACUAUUUAAAGAGAAUAAAACCCUAGAAUCCUAAUCUAACUAGGAAAGAUAAUUACCUAUACUAAUAAAAUACUAAAUAUCUACUAAACACACGGCACUAUAAAACUACCUAUACUACUUUAAUUAAUUAAUAAUGAAAUACCUAACCUAAUCAAUAAUUAAAUAUAAAUUAAAUAUUAAUAAAUUAAAUAAUAUAUCCCAACAUAUAUUUCCAUCAAAAAAAAAGUGUAUGUAUAUUAGAGAGAAAGAAUAGUGUAUAACCACAAACUCCUCUGUAGAGAGAGAAAUGAAGAAAUUUGUAGAUAGAGGGAGUUUUAUGGAUGGUUGAAGAUGAAUAGAUAGUUGGGCAAUGAUCAGUCUACGAAUAAUUCAAUUUCUUUUCUUCUGCUACAAUAUUGAAUACCAAUAGAUAUAUUUCUCAAACAAGUCAACAAGAAUUCUCACAGAGAAAGAAUCGCUAAGCCCAUAUUCCGAAAGCCUCUCCCUCUUCCCACCACUGUCGCCGCCGUUGCUUCUUCUAGCCACCCGAAUCCGCUCAAUCCGGGUUUAGCGCAACCCCAAUCGCAGCAGCCCCCAGUCUACAACAUCAACAAUGAAAAAUAAUUGUAUAGUGUGUUUUUUGGGUGCUUUGGUUGGGUGGUGGUGCGGUUGUGAAUUACUUUAAUUGUAAUAAAAAACCGUCAGAAUAUCGAAGUGGGGUGGUGAUGGUGUGAUGUGUGGUGAAGAUGGAGAGCAAGUCUAGGGUUUUUUGGUAGACUGGGCGGAAGACAUGCGGUAGAGAAAUUCGCGCAGGAUGGACCCUUAAUUGACUAUGUGUUUUUUUCAGUAGCCGAUUAAGUUAAUUGACUAUCCUCUGGUAGUCGAUUAAAGUGUUAAUCGGCUGUUCUGGUAGUCGAUUAAGGUUAUUCUAUUUCAUUUUUUUAAUUCAUUUUUGGGUUUUUGUGUAUUGAUUCCGAUUUGUAUAAAUCAAUUACAAUUUAUGAAUAUUAUUUUUUAUGUAAAAAUAGUGUCGAUUUUCGUUUUUACAUAGUUGUGUUAUUUUUGUUUUUAUUUUUAGUAGUCAGUUUCUUAAUCGACUAUGCUUAUAUCUCAUAGUUAGGGGUGGGCAUUCGGGUCGGGUUAUUCGGGUUAUGACCCGACCCGGUCGGGUUCUACCCGGUCGGGUCGGGUAAUUUUUGAAAAAAACGGGUUUUGCCGGGUUCGGGUACCCGGUGUCUAAAAAUCGGGUCGGGUUCGGGUAUUGGUAUUUCUACCGGGUUACCCGAUCGGGUACCCGGUUAAUUUUUUUUUUAUUAAAACUAAAAAAAGGGGCAGACAAUCUUAUCUGAACUAGGACUAGAUUUCUUUCUUGUUCUCUUUGAUUCUUUGAUACUCGGAGAAUGACGGAAACAAGAGUAGUUUUUGCAAAAAACACUACUGAAAGCAGCCACAUGGAGGAGUUUCUGGUCGCCAGAUCUGGAGCUCGUUAGGUUAUGACAGCGGGCCGGCGGCGGCCAAUUUUUUAAAGUGAGGAGGAGCUGAGAGUCUUUGAGGAAGCCAUUUGCGGCGCGCCGACGGUGGUGAGACUUGAGAGAGAAACGAAGAAGAUUAUAACCUAUAGAGGAAAGUUUUGUGUAUAUGGGCGUGGUGGAGGAGAUUCUUUUCGGCUUGGAUCUCCUAAAAGAAAAAUUAAAGACUUCAUUUUUCAUGUUGUUAGGUAAUCAGAUUCAAUUUUCUUCAUGAAUUUCACAGAGAUAAAGUAGAGAGAGAAAGUGGUGUUUAUGAGAGAGAAAGUGGGUUGGUGGUUUAUGGAGAGGGGAGAAUGGCUGCAAAAUGGAAGUAAAAAAAGGCAGAAGCUUUCAUUUGUUUUACAAAAAAAAAAAUUAAAAAACAAAAUUGAAAACCCGACCCGACCCGAACCCGACCCGAAAAAAACCGGGUACCCGGCAACCGGGUACCCGGUUUUUUCGGGUCGGGUUCGGGUACUGUUAUUUUCCAAAAAAACCCGAAUAACCCGACCCGAAUAACCCGAAUAACCCGACCCGACCCGAAUGCCCACCCCUACUCAUAGUCGAUUAAUAUACUUGAUAGAAAAAAAAAUUAGAAGACAAAUAUUUUUUUUGAAAUUUUUAAAAAUUAAAAAAAUUACAAAAAUUAAAGAAAAUCAAAAAAAUCAAAAAGAUAAAGAGAUUAAAAAAAAAAGGCAGAUGAGGUGGCAGGGACAUAAUUGGUGAUAGUAUUGAUGGGUGUGGUAUGGGCAUAAUUGGAAAAUGGGUGGCUAAAAUUAAGAAGGGGCUUUUCUCAAAUGAUGCAAAAUAGUUUGAGCUUCUCCCCAUUAAAAUAAGUAUUGAAUGGGCCACAAAGAAUUAAUUGCAACGAAUUAAUUAUACAGAACAAAAUAACAUUCGGAAUCCACCGAGAACUUUGGAAUCCACCAGAAAAUAGAGAAAACUCUAAAUAUUUUAUUAAAAUUCGAAAAAUUCUUCCUAAAAUAAAGUCUUAAGACAACUAUUUAUACUAAUAAAACUGAAAAUCCUAAUUAAGCUAAGAAAAUACUAAAAAUCACCAAAAACGGCAAAAACGAGUUAGAGCCUGAUUCUAGUAGUUCUCGUAAUUUUGAGAACAACGCAAGUUACAGAAUCAUAAUCCAGUUUUUCUAUGAUUUGAUAUUAACUUUCUAAAACUUGCCACAAUAAAAACGAACUUUUAGUAUGUCUACACGACGUUGGAUUGCUGAAAUCUUACGUGAUUCACGAGUUUGCUCAUGAGUUUUGUUCAUUGUGUCGUUUCACUUAAGAUGGAGUUCGUUUCGUAGUCAAAUACAAUUGUAGUACGUAGAAAACCCUUAAUUUUCCAUAACUUCUUUGGAUAUUUCAACUAAUGUCCAUUAAUAACUUUUCUCCGAAUUAAAUAGUUAUUUUGCAAUUCUAAUCCAAUUUGAAGUUCCUCAUCAAUUAUAGAAAAAUCACAUUAAUUGCUUAAUUUUAUCAAAAUUAAUACAUGGAUUUUAACAACUUUAAUAAAUAUGAAAAACUCAAAAUAUGCGAAUUAACUAAAUAUAUAGUUAGUUGAUAAAGAGUUAGCACCAAUCAAACUCUAUUAAUUACAACUUUGUUUCAUAUUAAGUGGUGGUUAAGAAAAAUACACACUUAUUAAGAAGCGGUCUUAAGAUAUAAGUCACUGGUGAGAAACCGUAUUAGAACUAAAUGACAAGUCUAAUUAAAAUUUGCUUCACAUCCUUUAUUAAAUUUAUUCCAAAAAUGCCCCUCAACUCACAAAUUCAAAAUUACAACAGAUUAUAAAUAUACUAUGAUGAACUAUGGUAUUAUUUAACAUUUUUUAAUUUUCAUCUACCAUCUUUUUUAAUUUUUCAUGGAACUCGUUUUUUUUUCAUAUUUUUUCAUUAUAUAUAAAUCUAUUUUUCCCCUUUUCUACAUUAAAUUAAAAAUCAUGGUUUCUUUUUUUCUUUUUUUCUUUUUUUAUUUUCAUUUUUCGUAUUUUUUCAUUAUAUAAAAUCUAUUUUUUUUCUCCUUCUUUUCUAGAUCAAUUGAAAAUUGUGAUUUUUUUAUUUUUUUGCCGUAGACAUCUACAGAAACCCGUAGACACUGUAGUAAUCCUUAGUAACCCAUAGAUAUCUUGAAACCCUAACUUCUUUCAACCCUAGCCGUCAGACACCAUAGACACCCAUAGACACUCAUAGACAUCUGUAGACAUGUAAAUCGAAAAAUCUUAAAUUUCCCAACAAACCAUAAAUCCGAUCCGCCACUAUCACCACCACCACCACCACCGCCAUUACUCCCCUUCUCCAUCCCCCCACACCCAGACCCACCUUCACGAUUCAUCCCUGUUGGUUGCAAGCAAACAACGAGCCUGCCAUCACAGAGCCUCCCGAUGCAACCCCUACACCGAGCGUCACCAUAGCCGUCGUCGCCUACCAUAACCGCCGCCAUCUACCAUAACCACCACCAUGACCUUCAUCAUUUCACUAUAAUUGAAAAGAAAAAAAAAAGAGGGGGGGGGGGGGGGGGGGGGAAAAAUAAGAAAAAAAAAGAGUCACGUGAAUUUUAUUAGGUAUUGUAAGGGUAGAUUUGGGUUAAAUAAAAAUCAAAGGAUAUGUAUCAAUUUUUUUAUUUUAAAAUAAGGAUGUAGUAAAAAUAUUUUAUUUGAGUUUGUCACUCACAUCUAUUUAAGUUUGGUUUGAGGAGUCUGAGGCAUAUUACCUCUAUUAAGAAACCUAAUUAAUAGCCUAUUUUUUUAAUAGAAAGUCGCCAAAUUACCCUUUGCGGUACUAUUAAAUAACUCUUAGUAAUCAAUUAAUGAAUUUAAAUAAUCAAUGAUAAAGGGCAAAUUUAUUAAACAAAAUCAUUUUAUUUUUGAAAACCUAAAUGGACACUUAAUAGGGAAUUUUUUUUGGCCAAAAAGCCACUUAAUAUGAACGGGAGGUAAUAUAGUUGUCGCGAUCGAACUCAUUCCGGUUUAACCCAACUGGCCGAAAAUGAUGUUAAGCAACUUUAUGUCACGAUCUCAUCCUAAAUACAACUCAUAGUGCAUACAAGAACCUUCAGUUAAUGUACUUCGUUAAUGUAGACCUUUUUAAUUAAGUUAUAAGACCUCGUUUGGUUGACAAGAUAAGAUUACCUAAGAUAAGAUAACCAUCCCUAUAAAAUGUAGGUCUAUUAUAAAUUUAUAAGAUGUUUGUUAUCAAAUUUUGAAUUUUUUAUUUUCCCAUUAUUUAAUCUAUAUAAUAUAUAAAAGUUGAAUUCCACCUUCAAUUGCUUGACAUUUGGCAAUUUCAAUUGAUGACAUGUAUUUCAUUUCAUCACAUGUGGCAAAUUGAUUGGUGAAAAUAAAUCAUAAAAAAUAUGUCAUCAUUUCCAAAAUUAAAGGUAAUUAAAUAUAUUUUAUUAUUUUUUAAUAUAUUAUGUACUACCAUUUAUAAAAUCUAUAUAAAUAUCAAUUUUCUUAUAAACUAUAAAUAGAUUUGUUUUUUAAUUUAAUUUAAUAGUAAUUAAUCUAUAUAAUAUAUAAAAGUUGAAUUACACCCUUAAUUGCUUGACAUCUGGCAAUUUCAAUUGAUGAUAUGUAUUCAAUUUCAUCCUAUGUAGCAAAUUGAUUGGUGAAAAUAAAUCCUUAAAAAACAUGUCAUCAUUUCCAAAAGUAAAGGUAAUUAAAUAUAUUUUAUUAUUGUAUUAAUAUAUUUAUAUCCUACAAUUUAUAAAAUCUCUAAAUAUAUCAACUUUAUUGGAAACUAUAAAUGGAUUUAUUUUUGAAUUUAAUUUUAAUAGUAAUUAAUUUAAUUUAAAUUUAGUUAAAUUCAAUUUAGAGUCUUCCCUUAUUAUAGUUGCAUGAUUAGUGAUGUUAUGGAAAAUUUGUAUUUUAAUUAAUAAAUUUGGAUUUAUAUUAAAAAAAUACGCAAAAUAAAUUAUUUGAUAUUAAUAUAUUAUACAUUUUACAUGAACAUAACCAGAGAAUACGUUUUUUUUUGUACUAAUGUAAUAUUAUAUAUUAACAUUAUUUGUAUAAAAGAAAGAUACAUGUUCGAAUUUACUAUAUUGCGAAAAUUGGCACUAUUUUUUUUCCACCUAUGUGUGCAAUAAUAGUAUCCCAAUUAUUUACCAUAUUAAAAAUUAUACUACAUGAAUUUCAUGUUAUUGUUUUAACUUUUCUUUUUUCUUCACCGAAUCCAGUGACAAUAAAUUUUAUGACUGAUUUAAUUUUUUUAAUUAUAUACUAAUUAAAAUACAAACUUUAUCAUAAUUAUACUAAUAAAUUGAAGAACAUAAAUUAAGUUUAAUCAAUUGAUAAAAAAAAUAUUGAUUUAUAUAUUCCAAAAUAUAACAAUGCUAUUCUAACUUUAGUAUUAAAUUCGUUUAUUCACUUUAUUUAAUACCAAAAAUUAAGCAUAUCAAUUGUUUUGUUUAAAAUGUAUAAUGAUCCUAUAUAUUAUAUAUUGUAUUAACUAAUAAGUAUUUCUCUAUAACUUUGAUAAAUAUAAUUAAGUACAUAUCUAGAGCAACUCCAAUUCAAAAGUAUCAAGAUGGUUUUGCAAAUAUUUAUGUGAUAUUUAAUAUGCUCCAACCAUACGUAUAAAAUGGUUGUUAAUUAAGAAUCAUUAAAUUGAUUUAUAUAUCUAAUUGCCAUAUGUCAUUUUCUAAAUGGACACUGGGUUGGUUAAAUUCAUAACUCAUGUUUGAUAUUUUAUUCCGCAUGAAGUAUUUUUACAUUCCGAAAGAUGAAAUAUCAAACACAACCCUUAUUUCAUAACUCUAUUGGAAUUUAAAUUACUAUUUUUUAGUAUGAAAAUGGUGGUUAAAGGUUUUGAUAACGCAUUUAAUAACCCCACUCGAGGUGUUCUUACUUUAAAUAGUUUACAUUAACAAAUACAAUAUCAAUCGGCAAAUCAGUAGUUUCUACGAUCCAUUUUUAGUUCCAAACUCAAUAAAAUAUUUAUAUAUUAUAUAAAAGACUACAAUUAUAUAAGAAGUAAUUGCAUAAUUAUGUGUGUGUCUUUCUAAAUUGAGAAAGUUUGAUGCAAUAUUGUUGUUAUGGAUGGAAAAAGUUAUCAAAUUUCAAGUAUCAUAAUAUAUCAAUAAAACAUUAUCUAACAAAUAUCAAUUUAGUAGUUAUCAUUUCAUUUGAUAAGAAAAACACCCCCACAUAUUCAUAAUUACCAAAAUUCUCCUAACGUUUGUUUCCGUCUUACAUCAACCUCCUAACAGUAUGACUUUUCACGGAUUUUUUUUUAUUACUUGGAAUAUUCCCCAAAAAAUGUUGAUUCUACCCUACACACGCGACAUUUCGUUAUGGUACUUUUUAAAGACAAAAAUUACCCUAAGGGGGACUUUACACGAAAUCUUAAUUUAUUCUUAUUAAACAACACCUUCACGACUUUUUAAUAUUACUUUUACCUCCCCUAGGGAAAUUUUUUGUAUUUAAAAAGUAGGAUAAAAGAAAUGUCACGUCAACAAGGAUAGAAUCCUCAUUUUUUUGGGAUAUUACAUGGAAUAAAAAAUAUUCCGUAAAAAAUCACACCUUAAGGGGGUCGUGUAAGAUAUAAAUAAACAUAAGGGGAAUUUUGGUAAUUACCGAUAAAUAGGGGUGUUUUUCGUAAUUUAGCCAAAGUUCUGGAGGAUUUUCGUUAUUUAUCCUAUUAAAAACGUUUAUUGUUCUUUUUACGUCUUAACGUUUGCUUAUAUCCUUAUAAUAUUUAAAAAAAAAUUAAUAUCAGUUUGAUAAUCUAAUUAAAUAUUAAUUUAUAAUAUAUUUAAUAUGUGUUUUUAGAUGAUAUAAAGGGUGCGAGAUUGAAUAUAAUUAUUUUUUAUACAAAAUAAUAGAUCAUUGCAAAAAAACAUUGAUACAAAAUCAGCAUUAGGAUUGUGAUUAGUAUUAACAUUAGAAUUAGGAUUAUAAUUAAUAUUAUUUGAAUUAAUAGUAGCAUUAAAACUAGGAUUGUGAUUCGAAUUAAUAUAUUAUUAGAAUUAGUUUUAGGAUUAGCAUUAGGAUUAUGAUUAAUAUUAGUAUUAGAAUUACAAUUAAGAUUUUGAUUACGAUUAGUACUACAAUUAAAGACAUGUUCGUAUUAGGAUUAUGAUUAGCAUUAGGAUUAGGAUUAUGAUUAGAAUUAUAAUUAGAAUUAACAUUAGUAUUAGCAUUAGCAUUAUUAGUAUUAAAUUAUUAGGGUUAGGAUUAGAAUUAUGAUUAGUGUUAGGAUUAGGAUUAGAAUUAAGAUUAUAUAUGAUUAGGAUUAGAAUCAUGAUUAGUGUUAUAAAUAGGAUUAGGAGUACGAUAAGGAUUUGGGUAAUAUUAGAAUUACAAUUAUAAUUAGCAUUAGCAAUCCAAAUUAGCAUUAACAUAAAAAUUAGUAUUAGCAUUAGUACAUGUAAAUUAGCAUUAACAUUAACAAUACACUACAAGAAAAGUUGGUUUCUGCAACCAAAUUCUCAGUGACGAGAGUAAAAUGGUUGCUUAAAAUAUCCAUUUAACCACCAAUGUUAAUGUGGUCGCAAAAUGCAAAUUAUUUAAAUAUUUUUGCGACAAACCAGUAGUCGGUAGCUGUAAAUGGUCGCUAUAAUUUGAAGCGCCCCAGGUGGUACUGUAACGACCAAAGAUUGUAUCUAUAGCGACAUUAUAUCAUGGUCACUAAAAAUUAAUAUCUAUAGUGACCAAUUUAAUAGAAUAUGUUACGUUGUUGAUAAAAGACAACAAAGGAGUUAUUAGUAACCGACCAAUUUUGCUGCUAAUCGUAUCUCACUUGCAACCAUAUUUUACAUGGUUGCUCUAGAUAUACUUAUAGUUAUAAUAGUUGAAUGAACCGUGGCAACAAUUUCUUUUAAAAAUAUAUUGGAAAAAUAUUUAAUUAACCUUUUUGAGUUAAAUCAAUAAAAAAUUAAUGAUAAAAAAAAUAACUUAGAAAAAUUAUGAAUAAGAAGAUAUAAGUCUGAUAUAUUAAAUAAAUUAACUAUUAAUUAUCUUAUAAUUUGUAUUAGACAUAUAAGAAGUUUGAGACUCCGUAAACUUCCACCUUGAAUAAUUCCCAGCGAAAUCCCCAAAAAUCCCAUCUCUCACCCUCACGUCCUCAAAUCGGCGUCAUCUCAGGCGCUCACUUGCACAGUAAUUGGUGUUCUUGUGUCGCCUUUUGCGAUAUCGGUGGCCUUGUUGUAACCCAUUCACGUAUGAAUUUAUCAGGUUCUUUAAAAUCCCCAAUUCUCAAACUCGAGAUUUUGGAAGCACGCAAUACUUCUAUAUUUGUACCCAUUUCUCGAAUUUUUGGUGUCAAAUAUGACGUAUUGUAUAGAAUUUGUGGGCUGUGAGGAUAAUUCAAUAUUACUGUUGUUGGACUAAAAUCCAAUGGUGUAUUGAUGUUUUGUCAAAACAUUGGCAGAGCUUGCAGACCUAAUAAAUUUGUGUUAUUAUCUGACUUUAUUUUCCGAGAGGUCUUUUAUAUAAUCCUUUUUCUAGUUUUUGUAUUUAGUAUUUGAGGAAAUUUCUACUACAUAGCCGGCGGUUUCAGUGGGGUUCAACCAAUGCGAGGGUUGAUAAGGCCCAAUUGGUACGGUACACAAACAUGCAGCAAAUGGUACAAUUCUAGCCUUCGACCAUCUUAUCUACUUAAUUUACCGUAAUCUUCUCUUUACUUAAUCAUAUGUACUUUAUUUGUGUGCUUUGAUUAUUAAUUUGUUGUUUGCAACUUGAUUUUAAUUGCAUAUAAAACAGUUUGACUCUUUUCACUGGAGUUUGGGGCUAAGUUCACUUGCAGCAAACUCCAAAGGCAUAUCUCAAUUUAUUUGUCAUAUUUAUGCCUAUUUGCCUUUGAUUACUUUGAAUUUGUUAUACUCAACUCAUUGUAUAUCUUCGGUGAACGAACAAAACUGAUAAUUCGUCUGUCUUUGGACAUACAUGGUGUAAGUUCUAUUUUUUUUUUAAUCUAUUUUUUGUCAAUGAUAGCAUCUAAAUUUCUUCCUUUAUUAUUCAUUCAUCCUGUUUUUACUACAUGUCUGACUCAACACAAAAUUGAGAACUCAUUGAGAACUCAUCUUCUGAUAACAAUAUAGUAUCCUUUGCUUAUCCUUUGCUUAGGAUAUAUAUGUUAUAAAAUUGGUUGCCUAUGCCUAUGUUGGCUUUGUCAAAUUGAUUCAUGUAUAGACAGACGUAUUAUUUGUUUGAUUACUUAUGGCUUUUCUUUAUGUUCUCUGAGUUAUGCCAAAAUGAAAAGAAAGGGAGAAGAAGGAAAUAAGCCAUAGAAAAUGUUCACCUUUUCUAUUCUUCCUAGAGUUGUUGCUUAUUUUGAUAAACAGUCAGCUGUGAAUUCUUGUAUUAUCACCUGCAUUCUAUUGCUCAUUGUUGUGGCAGUUGUAUUUGGACAUUGGAGUUGCUAAUUUCAGAAGGAUUUUGUUACAUGUAUGCUUUUGGUAGAUGAUGGUUCAACAAUCAAUAUGUAAUUAUAUGGGCCUGAUUGUUGAGAGUACAAUAUGGUUGAAAUGUUAGUUUUUAGUUAUUUUGUAGAUUAGAUUUCACCUGACUGUUUAGGUAUACAGUUUUUGUGCUCGGAUACAUGUUUUGUACAAAGGUAUCGUCAUGCUUCGAAGUGUUUUGAAAUUUUUACUUUCGUAUAUCACAAAUUGUAUCCAAGCCAAACAAUCAUACAAAAUCUGAGUCGGAGCAUUCUGAACCACCUCCACUUUCUGAUGUGGAAACAAAUAUUCACAGUUUUGGGAUCCUAGGGGUAGAAAUAUUUUUUGGUAUACUUACUGUCUUACAAGAGCAGAGGUAUACAAGUAAACAAGGUAUCUAUUUACUAAAUAUUUCAUUUUACUUUUCGGACAUGUUUUGUUUAACCUAUCUGUGUUUCUCGAUUGGCAUGAAUCUGAAAUGUGUUGGCUGUGAUUAUAAUGACGAGUACUUGAAUCAUUGUCAGGUUAUUCAGUUGUUGAAUGAUGAGGGAACCACCAACCACUUGAUUUGUCCAACUUUGAACUCUUGAAGACGCCUCACCACAUUUCAUGCUUGACGUAAUCUAGAGUAGCAUUCGCCAAUCCAAGAUUUGUACUUGUUUGGGAUCCAAAGUUACAUAUGUUUGGAACUACAUAGAAUGAUUCGAUAUGUUAUGGUAUUUGAGUAUCAUUGAUUGUAUAUGAAACUGACAUUUGAUUGGUUGAUGAAGUGUAAAUUUGCAGAUGUGGUUUUAUUUAGUUUGCAAACAAUGCUUAAUUUUAUUGUAUAUAAGAUUAGCAAUUAAUUUAAAUUGUUUUCCAUAUAAAACAGGGCAAGGUUUUGCGAAGAUAACACAAUUAUUGCAUCCGCCGAUUUUAAUGCUAUAAAAGUAUUCUUAGAGAUGAAUAUACGGUCACUAAAAUAUGUUAAUUAUGACAAUUGUACAACCAAAUAAAAGCUAUUGCAACCAACUAUUUGGUUGCUUAAUGUACAUGAAUUACCAACCAAAAUAAUAUGGUCACUGUAUGUCUAGUUAUAGCGACCAUGCCAAGAUUAUAAUGACCAUAAAUUUUUCGAUUAGCGAGUCAAAAGAGGUCGCUAAUUGUUACGUGUUUAGCGACCAUUAUUGGAGAGUCGCUAAACACGCACGUUUCAGUGUCCAAUUAAAUACGUCGUCACUGAGUACUUUUAGUAGCUACCCUAUCGUGACCAUUUAUAUUUGGUCACUAUAUGUUUUAGCGACAUUUUUUUAACUUUCAGCGACCAUAGCAUAGUGUCGCUAAAACCAAAUUUUCUUGUAGUGAUAUUAACAUAUUAGUAUUAGUAAUAGAAUUAAUAUUUAUAUUAGUAUUAGUAUUAGUAUUACUAUUAGUAUUAGUAUUAUUAUCAGUAUUAGUAUUAGUAUUAGUAUUAGCAUUGGCAUUGGCAUUAUCAUUAGCAUUAGCAUUAACAUUAGCAUUAGCAUUAGUAGUAUUAGUAUUAGUAUUAGUAUUAGUAUUAGUAUUAGUAUUAGUAUUAGUAUUAGUAUUAGUAUUAGUAUUAGUAUUAGUAUUAGUAUUAGUAUUAUAUUAGUAUUAGCAUUAGAAUUAGCAUUAGCAUUAGUAUUAGUAUUAGUUUUAGUAUUAGUAUUAGUUUUAGUAUUAUAGUAUUAGUAUUAGUAUUAGUAUUAGUAUCAGUAUUAGUAUUAGUAUUCGUAUUAGUAUUAGUAUUAGUAUUAGUAUUAGUAUUAGUAGUAGUAUUAGUAUUAGUAUUAGUAUUAGUAUUAGUAUUAGUAUAAGUAUAAGUAUUAGUAUCAGUAUUAGUAUUAGUAUUAGUAUUAAUAUUAGUAUUAGUAUUAGUAUUAGUAUUAUUAAUAGUAUUAGUAUUAUUAAUAGUAUUAAUAUUAAUAUUAGUAUGAAUAUUAAUAUCAAUAUUAAUAAUAAUAUUAGUAUUAAUAUCAGUAUCAGUAUAAGUAUAUGUACCAGUAUCAGUAUCAAUAUUAGUAUCAAUAUCAGUAUUAGUAUCAGUAUAUCUAUCGGCAUCGGUAUUAGUUUCAAUAACAAUAUCAGUAUAAGUCUAAGUACCAGUAUCAGUAUUAGUAUCAAUAUCAGUAUCAGUAUCUAUAUCUGUAUCAAUAUCAUUAUCGGUAUUAGUAUGAGUAUUGUUAUUUUUAUUAGUAUUUUUAUUAGUAUUAUUAUCAAUAUAAGUAUUAGUAUGAGUAUCGGUAUCUGUAUAAUUAUUAGUAUCAAUAUCAGUAUCAACAUCAGUAUCAGUAUCGGUUUCGGUAUCAGUUUCGGUAUCAGUAUCAGUAUCAGUAUCAUUAUCACUAUUAGUAUUAUUAUUAGUAUUAGUAUUAAUAUUAGUUUUAGUAUUAAUAUUAGUAUUAGUAUUAUUACGAAUAUUAAUAUUAUUAUUAGUAUAAAUAUUAGUAUCAGUAUCAGUAUCAAUAUCAGUAUCAAUAUCAAUAUCAAUAUCAGUAUCAGUAUCAAUAUUACUAUCAGUAUUAGUAUUAGUAUUAGUAUUAGUAUUAUUAUUAGUAUUAGUAUUAGUAUUAGUAUUAAUAUUAGUAUUAGUAUUAGUAUUAGUAUUAGUAUUAGUAUUAGUAUUAGUAUUAAUAUUAGUAUUAAUAUUUGUAUUAGUAUGAGUAUGAGUAUUAGUAUUAGUAUCAGUAUCAGUUUCGGCAUCAGUUGCAGUAUCGGUAUCAGUAUCAAUAUCAGUAUUAGUAUUAGUAUUAGUAUUAGUAUUAAUAUUAGUAUUAUUAUUAGUAUUUGUAUUAGAAUGAGUAUGAGUAUUAGUAUUAGUAUCAGUAUCAGUUUCGGCAUCAGUUGCAGUAUCGGUAUCAGUAUCAGUAUCACUAUUAGUAUUAGUAUUAGUUUCAAUAUCAGUAUUAGCACGAGUAUCAGUAUUAGUAUUAGUAUCAGUACUAGUAUCGAUAUUAGUAUCAAUAUUGGAAUCAAUAUUGGUAUCCAUAUUGGUAUCGGCAUUGGUAUUAGUAUCAAUAAUGGCGUAAACAUCUUAUCUCUUUAUCAAUAUUUAUAAGUUGUAUUGUUGUUUGACUAAUGUGCAUCCUAAUUGAACGCCGUUAGAGAUAAACUUGCAGGUUUUUUGAAUAUUUAUUGUGUUAUUUUUCUGCUAUCGUGUUUGUUGUUAAGUUAGUUAUUUUGCAGAAGAUUGACAUGGUGUAGUAGAUUGCAUUCCACGGAAUAGAGUUAUACCAUAUGUUUUAAAUGAUUUCACUUAAUCUUCAUAUCGUGUUUUGCGCGCUUCGCGCAUAUGUUACAACUCUGAAUUAAGAGAUAAAGUUUAUGUUCUUUUUAUGUUCUUUUUUUUUCUAUUUCCUUCCAUUUUAUUUUACUUAAAUUUGUGUUGUUAUAAAGAGAUAGUCGUUUCCAUAUUAUUAUUAUUUUUUUCAUUUCAAAACUGAACUCCGUCCAACGCACGAGUGAAAUACUAGUAGUGUUUGAUGUUUGUUUUCCUUAAAAUCAACUCAAUUACUUAAAAAUGACCGAAUUACCCUUUUCUUAUUGUACAUAUUUUUUUCUUCUUCUUUUUAAUAUUUAUAUAUUUUUCGAAAACAAUUUUUUCUAUUUAUUUUUCGAUUUUGUUUUUCUUCAUUUUUUCGAUUAUUAUUUUAUUUUAUUUGGAUUUUUUUCGAAAAAAAAGUUUUUUAGAUGACCGGGAAUCACUCGACCGGCGGCAGCAGACUCACUCGGCGCUACUAUCGCGAAAUUGCUCAACGCAACCAAGUUACUCACUUGUAUAAAGAGGAAUCACUCACUCUGAAUGCAAUUAAUUUGCAAACUAUAUUUAAACUUAAAUAAUCAUGGUGAUUUUAUUCAUUGAUAGGGUUUAUAUAGGAGUUUUGGAACAUCCCUCCAAACAUAGGAAAUUACAAUUUUGAAUGACUUAUCAACUUUUACUUCUAGAAAAUAAAUAAACUUAGUUUUGACUCAUGAAAUAUAUAGAAUAUGACCUGAUUAAUUGGUAAUAAGAUGAAUAGUUCGAAAUUAGACUAAUAAAAGAAGUAGAACACUAAGAAAUACCUACAGACAAAAGACUUUCAAUUUUCCCGAUCGAGUGCAGUUGGUAGGCUCUAGAAAAAUCAAACAUAACUUUUUCCUCAGACCCUUGUUUCGUACACCGUUUCUUGUAUUGGAAACUAGACUUCCAUACAUUAUACAAAACUUAACUCUUCUAAAAUCGUAACAGAUAAUUUUUUCAAGUUGACUGAUUUGAAAAGACCAGUUAUGCAUCAUUCUCCCCUUCUUGAAAAGAACUCGUCCUGGAGUUCGAACCAAAACAUCGAUUUUUUCUUUUUAAUUUUUUCAAUGUUUGUAGGAUAGCAAGUUCACUGAAUUUUUGAGACAAUUGCGAUUUGGCGUACUUUUUAAACGAAGCAAAAUAUACUUAGUCCCCUUCUUGAAACACAAAAAAAAAAAAUGUAUGACUUCGGAUGUUUCUCGCACUUGAGUUCCAACAUGUCAAACAUCCAUGAAUCAGUCAUUAAAAUAUACUCUUUGUGUCCGGAGAGACAAUGCGUGUGAAAUGUAUUGUUAUGAAGUCAUACGUCAUCUUGUUGGACUGAUAUCUCCUCGUGAAUAACACGACUUUCCAUCUCCCAAUUUUCAUGAUGAUUCUCGUCUUCGGCCUCGUUUGCAAAUUCUCGGUUUAUGUGCUUCAUCAUAAUGAUCUUUCUGAUCAAAGUUAAUUUCAUCAAGAUAUGACCACUCAAAGAUAACCUUAGGUAAAGUUAUCCCAUCACGGUAUGCAACCGCAUUUAUUUUUUCGUCAAAAGUUGGAACACCUACUUGAAUAGUUUUAUUGCCUCAUUUAAGAGCCAUGGAAAAACGUUCCACCACGGUAUUGUUUUUAGUGAUAAAAGGGUUUUUAAAAUCACUUGUUGAACAUGAUGAAUCAUGACGUUCACAAUCGGCUUUGUUUACAUUAUUACGGAAAAUAUUUCCUCUACUUCAAGUACGAGAGUUCUUCCUUGUAGGAAGUUCAGCUAACAUUUGUUGUAUUGCGGCCAUUUCUGUGUGGAUAUUGACAUCUUUUAUGUUUCUUGGAUGACGGGGUGACAUGUUAUUUGAUCAGAGUAUGACUAAUAGUUGAUCGGAAAUCACUCAACCGGCGGCAACGGACUCACUCGACGUUACUAAUUGCGGAAUCAUUUGCAAUUCAGUUUAGACAAGGAAAUUGUAUUGGAAUGGUCAGGGAUCAUAGUUCAAUUAAUCUACAGAUCGUUGAUGAUGCUAAUUACUUAGAUCACUUGGGAUAGUGUGGUAAAUGAGUUGGAAGAGCAAAGCGGAUCAGUAGCUCGCCAAUUCGAUGGUCCGAGGUCCCUGCGAAAUAAACCACGAGAACUAAGCCGGGGGUUGAUUCGGGGAAAACCCCUCCGACGCUUAAAUCAGAUGUACGGAUUGUGGAGAUGGUAGAAAGAAUAUGUGCUCUAGAAUACUUGUGAAUAAUAUAACGUACCUUAACAAAAUGAGUAAAACCUCUAUUUAUAUGUCGUUUAUUGGGUUGGAUUUACUUUGUUGGGCCCAAGCUUUAUUUUGAAGGUGUUUGGGCUUUCGUAUAGCGGGUCGAAUUAUUAGAUAAAUGGUGGGCCCAUUGGGUCGGCCCAAUUAGGUAUAUCAUUAACCCCCCCAACUCUCGAGUCGAGAUGGGAGACUUGUCGAAGGGGUUCCGGAUCGUGUCGAGAGUUAAAUGUGAUGUGCCUUGACUAGUUUCCAUUGCCAUUGAAUUGAUUCAUAAUUAAUUAAAAAAUUUAUAAUUGUAUUUAUUUGGCAUCAGGAUAUAUAUUUAAGGGUUUUUAAUAAUACACCAGGUCCAAAUAAAUAGAAUCCUUUUGCGGCGGAGAGAAUUAAAUUCCUACUCUUGUGGGGAAUAUGUAUGGGUAAGUAUUUUUAAUUUUUGGGUCUUCCUUAAUGUUCUUGCUUCUAUUUUUUUGUGAUAAAGUUGAAGUUUUUAUUUUUUGAGUGUUUCUUCGAAGAAAAAUAUUUAUCAUGUCGAACCCAGGUAAGUCGAAAUCUUUGUGAAUUUAAAUUCGAGAUCCGGUUAAAGGGGUCGAGAAAAAUUUUGGUACUGUGGGUAUGGAACGCGAGAAGCUUGUAGUAUCGGGUACGGAAAUCGGAUCCUCGUCGGCUAGUGCACGGAUCGAAGGGAGAGGAGAGGUAGUUGGUGUGGGAGAUGGCUCAGUUGCAGCCGUUGGGGAGGAGCGAGCCGCCGCUGUGCACGGCUUGUCUCUAGGCUCGUCUUUCGAUGUGAGGCGCGGAGAGAGAGGUGAGCCGGCUUUCGCACCGUCCGAGGGGAGGAACGGCUCAAACGGCGCGGCCGGGGUGCUGAAGAGAGGACGCGCGCGCGUCGGAUGACGUGUUUGGUGGACGCGCACGCGCGUCGGGCACGGUUCUCGGUGAACACGCACGCGCGUCACGCACGAAAAACGAGAAGAACUUACAUGGAAUGGCAGUCUUUUAAACUUGGUCAUCGAACAAACAUGACAAAGUGAAGAAUUCAUUAAAGAAGGUUAAAAAAUAUGUUCUUUUAAAAUAGCUACUUUGGAAAAAAGGAACAUGCCCAAGUCUAUUAUGCCAGGUCUGAGAAGAGAUAGAGACUUUAUUACACACAAUUUCAGUAGAAGAACAAGAAUAAAACAGGCUCCAACACAUAUAAGUCUUGCAACCUUUUACCUAUACCAAUAUAUCACUUGCAUCAGCUUGUCCUAAAUCACAAAUGAUUGAAACCCAAAAGUGACAAAUUCAUGAGGUUUAGAUAAAAGAGCACUAACAGAAAGUAAAUUGAAUUGAAACUCUGGAACAUAAAAAAAUAUUAUGCAAGAAAAGAGACGGAUCUAACUGAAUAUCACCUAUAAAAGCCACAUGCAAAGAUGACUUAUCUGGCCAAAUAACUUAGAAGAAGGGGUAAGAUGCAAAAAUAGAGACCUAUUAUUGCAUGUGUAAAGCACCUGAAUCAACAACCAAUGAAAACGCAUAACCAUGGGAUUCAUUAUUGCAUUAGCAUAAAUGGUACCUAUCACACAGGAAAUGUGAGCAUCAACCUGUUAGAAUCCCUUGGAUUCUAAUUAUAAGAGAAUUAAAUAUAACUUGUGUCACAAGUUUGCAUAUACCGUGAGCUAAAGAAGGGAAGAGUCCUUGUAGCUUUUAAUUCUUUUAAUUUGUCAUUAAUUGAUUUAUAAUAGGAAUUAUUCUUCUAAAGAGUUUCCUUGUGUUGAAAAUAUUAUUUCCUACGUGAUUAAAAGUUUCCUAACCCUAAUGGACUCUAAUUCCUUGUAGGAUUCUUAUCACCUAUAGAAGUAUAAAUACAACAACACGGCGCCUCAGAUCUCACGUCUUCUUGGAGAGAAAAAAUUACACAGGAUAUUUUCUUUACUCUCGUUUUUAUUGACGUCUUUUUGGAGAGAAAAAGAUUUCUCUUUUCCUUGUUGCUGUUGCGUGCUUGUUGCGUGCUUUUUUUGAGAGAAAAAAUAUUUCUCCCUUCUUUGUUCCUCCUACAGCUUUUUCAUCGAGAGAAGUUCAAGAGAAAAUAUUUUUUUCUCUCGUUUUUAUUGCUGCAUUGUGAUACGUGAUUUCCAUAUAAAAUAUAUCGGCUUCAAGGUUUUGUGGCGAAGACACCAAGAUUCAAGGAUUAUCACAAGUUUGCUUCUUCUAUACAAAAAGAAGAUCGGUUCUUCGGGAGAGGGGCUUAAACAGAUCUCGGGAGGAGAUCGAUCCGCCGACUGAGGGAUUCAGCAUUGAAGGGAGUUGAACCGUGCGGAGCAAAGGACGUGCUGCAAAUUGAAGAUUUAUAAUUCAGCGUAGUAUACAAGAACGGCGUCAACGAAGAGGGAGUCUUUGUAUUUUGAUUAAGUCCUACUAUUGUAUUCGUAAAACUAAAAAUUAGUAAAUUUCAUUUGCAGGUCCCCGUGGAUGUAGGGUACAAUUGUAUCCGAACCACAUUAAAUUUGUGUCUCAUUUAUUUCUUUUUUUACGAACUGUUUUACGAACUGUUGCAGCACUUCACGCAACAGUAACGAAAAACUGAAUCUGACACAAAUAAUUAAUAUCUGCACGAAACAAUUUCUAACAAUUGGCAUCAAGAGCCUGUCACUAGAUACACUUAGUGAGAUCUUGGGAUUUAAUUUUUUAUUUUUUUGUGCAGAUAUGCUUUAUCGUGAAGGAGCGUCUACAGUACGACCACCUCUCUUGGAUGGAUCAAAUUACUCGUUCUGGAAAUCGAAGAUGAAGAUGUUCAUCAAGUCCGUUGAUGAACGAGCUUGGCGUGCAAUCGUAACUGGUAGAACCCCGCCCAUGGCUAUAGGAACGGAUGGUAUGCAUACGGUAAAACCAGAAGAAGCAUGGACUAAUGAAGAGAUAUUAUUUGCCAAAAAGAGAAAAAACUUUUCAUUCCCGUUUUCAUUCUUGAUUUAAUACUAAAAGGGUUUAUUUAGGUUAAUUUCAUUGGUAGGGUUUUUUGUGAACAUUCAUUACUUAAAUAUUUUAAUGAAUAAAAUUUAAAUUGACAUUUUACCUUUUCGUUACACCAUGAACAAAUAUCGUAUACAAACUAGCAAUUUAUAUCGAUCCCGUGUACGUCGUAUGGUUCAUUUGUUUUAGGUCAGAAGAAUCACAAGAAUUUAAUUGACUAAAGUUAGAGAAAUUAUUGUUAAAAGAAAAAUAAUUAAUUAGUAUUUUUACGUGAAAUUCGAAUUUUCAGAGAAACAUAUACCUCCAAUAAAAUAGUGUAGAAGAAUGUGGAAUAAGAGUAGAAAUAUGCUCAAAUUCAUUUAUGGUUUGAAGAUAAUUAAAUUAUCUUCAUUUUUUAAUAGAAUGUAAAAGAAAAAUUAUAUUAAAUGAUGAGGUGUUACAUUAGAGAUCCUUAAGAUGACACUCUAAUUUCAGAGUGUCAGCUUAAGAGUCUCUAAAAUCACAAGUGUCACCUCACUGCUACAUCAUUUGGAGAUUUUUCUUCAGAUCUGCAUUGGAGAUAAUUUUGUAACAAAAAUCUCAAUAUAUCCCAUAUGGCACUCUAAGUAGUAGAGAUUGAGUUUAGCAUUGAAGAUGCUCGAACAGUAGUUUUCGAAAAGCAUGCAACAUAGUCAAUCAUGUACUUUUUUAAGUGCAAUGUUGUCUCACGAGAUCCUUGUGCUUGAUCUUCAUGCUUCACUUGAAUCCCAUCAUGAACUCUAGCUUGCUAUAUCUGUAGACGGCUAAAAUUAAUAAAUUGGUAAAUUAGAUUGGUCAAUUAAAUUGUGCCUAAUUUAAUUUAUCGUUUAUCUUACAAGACAAUUCAUGUAGAUAAACAUCAAUUAAUGAUUAGCCAAUAUGAUUAUUUCUUCUCUUUCAAGUUAUAAGAGAUAAAUAUCAAUUUAAUAAAGGCCAAUAAAAUCGCGUCACGUCAUCAAGAAGGCUUUAUGUAGGACUCUUAUUCUACCACUAUUAAUAGGGACCCUCCCUACACAAUUCAAAGACACAACUCAAGAAGGAGAAAAAUCAUAGGCGAAAAUUCUCUCUACAACAUCUCAAGCGUUCUUCAUCAAAUCGAGAGCGUCUAUCAACAAAUCAAGAUCGAAGGAAGAUUGAAGGGACAAAUCCAUCAAGAACUCCAAGAUCUUCAAGUCAAAGCUCGUCAAAGUUCAGCGUUCGAUCCGAGAUUCAAGCCGCAAGACCCUCGGAAAACUUUAUUCAAGUUCAAAAUCAAAUCCGGAGAAGAUCAAGUCAACGACCCGACUCCGAAAUUCAAAGUCAACAUAUAUUAUUUUUGAGAGAAGAAUCGUAUGAUUAAAUUAGAGUUUGUAACCCGCUAUAUCUAUUUUAAUUCAAUAAAAUUAUCUUUGUGCAAGUCUUUCUUGUUUGUUUAAAUUGCAGAUAAGAAUUUGUUGCUACAAAUUGCACGCCCGGUGGGACAUCUCUUCUCUCUAUCAAAGAUCCUCGAAGUGUUGUAGUGACUGCUCUACGUUCGCAAUGAAGAUUGCUACUUCGGAUUCAUCAAGUGUGGGUGUAGUUACAAGGAGUACGGCUAAAAAGCUGCAAGCAUCCUCCGAGACUAGCAUGACGCUCCAAACCAUGGAGAAAAGCUUACCACCUCUUGUCAACACAAGUGCAGACAUGGACGGUUCAAAACGAGGGACUUCACUGCCCACGCCUCGUUCAGCAUCAAGCUACUCAAAGGUGGCAUCUGUCAUAACAACAAACGCUACAACUAUGGAAGAGCAAAUUGCAACUUUAACAAAGGCAAUUAUGGGACUCGCAAAGCAUGUUCAAUAUCGAGAUUCUCAAAUUGCCAAGUUGAUCAACAAGAUGCACAAAGACGAUACUAGUCAAGCUGUGGAGAAUCAGAUACAGGCUCAAGACGAAGUCGAGACAUCCAAAAAGCAACAGCCAGUUGAAAACGAGAAGGCUCCAGCUCAAGAACUUCAAGUUUCUUCCGAAGGGCUGAUUCAUGUAGAUCAAGUGAUGACACUGAUCAGUGGAACUAUCAAAGACAAGUUGGAAGGAAGCUCGAAGUCGCCAUCAACCUAUGUCAAGCCAUACACACAAAGGAUUGGUGAUCUAAAGAUGGCAAUGGGCUAUAUACAUCCACAGUUUCAAUAAUUUGACGGCAAAGGAAACCCCAAGCAACAUGUGGCACACUUCGUUGACAAUUGCAAUGAUGCCGGAACGUACGGAGAUCACCUCGUCAAGCAAUUCGUCCGAUCGCUCAAAGAUAAUGCGUUUUAUCGGUACAUUGAUUUUGGGGCAAACUCUAUUGAUAGUUGGAAGCACUUAGAGGAAGAAUUUUUUAACCACUUUUACAGCACUCGAAGAACAACCAGCAUGAUUGAGCUCACCAAUUCCCACAAAUGGAAGAAGGAACCUGUCAUCGACUACAUCAGCCGUUGGAGAAAUUUGAGUCUUAAUUGCAAGGAUCGACUGCCUGAGACAUCAGCUAUUGAACUGUGCAUCCAAGGAAUGCAAUGGAGACUCCGAUAUAGCCUUCAAGGAAUUCAACCUAAAAGUUUUGAAAAGUUGGUUACUCGAGCACAUGAUAUGGAAUUGAGCAUAAUUGCAAAUGAAGUUGAACAACCUUCAAUCCAAAAGUCGUACCAGCUCAAUGAAGAACAUGUCAAAGAAGAACACUUCAAAGAAGAACAAGAAGAUCAUGAGGAUGGGGGCAAGUCUUUUGAAGAAAAAACACCCUAUGCAUUAUGACAAGUCAAAUCAAAUCAAACACUCCUUGACACGAGUUUAAAAUGUCAACAAGUACAUAUCAAAUUCAAGUUCAAGUAAGCACUCCUUGACACUGUUAGAGUAGGUGACUGAAGAGCCAACUAAUUGUUGUGUGUUCUCACGCUACUCGUAAAUAAUCUAUUUCGUAUUAAUGAUAAAAACCCCCUUUGGCAUUCUAUAUCUUUGUCCCUUGCAUACGCAUAAUAUAGUCCUUACAGUUAUCUAAAUCUAUAAAUAGAUCUAGUAGAAUAGUGAGAUUAUUUAUUUAAGUAUAGUAACUAUUAAACAUAGUUCCUAGUCAACGGGUUACACCACUAAUGAGGAUAUCGGUCUUUCCCAUUUGAGACUAGCACUUAGUGUAUGUGUACUGCGUCUCAUCAGUCAACGGUGUUGUGACAUCGGCAUAAAUAAGUGGAUGCUCAUAACUUGAUGAGUUCAAUGAACUCCCUCAAUCUAGAGAUCUCUAAGUGGUUCCCAAUAAUCGAGUAGAGGUUUCUAUGAUAUAGUUGUACACCAUUAAUCCUUAAGACUCAAACAUCACCAUGAUUUCACUAGAGGACCAGCUGUAUCGGGACCUGUCCCUGAGUUCCACCGAGGACCGCCCCAAGGGCCAAUAUUCGUGCAGCCCAAAAUCUAGUGGGAGGUUUGUGCAUUGUAGUAGGGGAUUCGAUCUCUUGAUCAGUCAUGGAUAUCAUCUGUGUUCUUGCGAUUUAUAAUCCAUGAAGUUUGUGGCCACAGCUGAAAGUGUCGUGAUUAGAGAAAUGUGUUUCUCUAAGUCAAACACGAACGGAUUAUAUAAUCAAGAACGUCCAUACGGUUAUUGAACAUAUAAAGAGGUCUCGAUGAACCAAUGCCUCUAGUUCAAUCGGGAUAUAUUUAUCGAAGGGAUCGUAUUGUACGUUAACUAUAUCACACGGUUCUUGCAUGCACUUCAUUUGUAUAUAGGGAAUCAUGACGCGUAGUUGUUAGACGCCAAUCUUGAUUCGUUGGGUAGUUAAGUUAAAACUAUCUUCAACUUAAUUAUAACUCUAGGGAUGAGUUUAAACCACAAUGGGUUGUGGGCCCACGACUAGCUUACACCAUACCCAUCGAGGGUCACACUGCUCGUGUAAUUGAGAUCCUUAAUGCAACGAGCUAAGAUUAAUUAGUUAAUCUUAGUGUGAUUGGAAGUCAAUAUGAUUGAUUCCAACAUUUGUAAUUGUUAAUUACGGAUGACAAUAAGUAGAGGAAAAGAAUCUGAUGAAAAUUUAGUGAACUUUCUAUAUUGGAAAGUUUCCCGAUUUGGCAAGUCCUAAAUUAGGGUUUCCAAUUUUGAAAAUUGGUAAAUUUUAAAGUGGUAUUCGUAUCGACGCGAAUUUGUGCUCGUUGUCAAAAUAUAAUUGUUAUAUUUUUGUAGCAUUCGUUUGUUAGAAACGAGCCGAGAAAGAGAGUGGACAUAAGCUGUUGGGCCUAGCCCAACUUAAGGCAUGUUAGGGUUUUCACAAGGAGCAUAUAAAUGUUGGGUUUCGGGCACGCAUACGCAGCGGAAAACAAAAAUUUAUGCGAUUUAAACGACUUUAAAAACACAUAAGAACAUGCCCGAUAAAUUAAAUUCAAUUAAUUGCGUACCUUUGCGCUUCCAGCGAAAUUAAAACAACAUACAUGCUAAUAAAUUUAACCGAAUUUAAAUCAAUUAACAUGCUCGCGUUUUAAACCAAAUAACAUGCUCGUAACGAUUUAAACGAUUACACAUAAUCACAUAAAAUCAUACAAACACAAGCAUGAAAUCAUAGUUUAAACUAAACCCUAAACGAAACUAGGGUUUCGUAUAUUUACCUCUUGACGCGUGAGGUAUGAGCGAUUAGCACUUCGUGAUUACUACGGAAACCAAUCCGUAGAAUCGGGGCAGCAGCGGUGCGUGGGCAGCAGCGGCGCGUGAGGUCACGGCGGCGCGUGUGGUGUACGCGCGGCUUCGGGGCGGCGCGUGGGGCAGCGUGCGGCUUCGGCUCGUGCGUUGCUCCUCGAUUCUUCGAUCUACAGUCUUCCUCCUCUCGGAUUUCACCUCGUAUACUUCGAUCUACUAAAUCGUGGCACUAGACACGAAGUAGUUAGAAUAAAACGGAAAGAAAAUAAAAGGAGAAAGAAUACCGAACAAGAACCGCCGACGAACGGCCGGUUCCGGCGACGGAGCGGCGACGGUGGUGCGGUGGUGGCCGCGCGGGAGAGGGGGCGAGAGAGAGAGGGUCGGCCGCUUAGGGUUAGGGUUUGUGUUGUUUGUGCAAGGGCUAUAAAUCAUGUAUUUAUAGUCCCUUGUAUAAAACCCUAGCGGGCUUAAGUUGGACUGGGCCCAACUGCUUAAGCUCGUUAGUUUCUUUACUCGCUCGUAUCUCUCAAUUCAAUGAUCGAAAAAUUGUAACGAUUACAUUUUAGAGUCAUUAUAAUUUCCUCGUCAUUACGAGUGCCAUCUCUUAUUUUCCAACUUUCCAAAAGUGGAAACCCUAAUUCAGUGCACUUUCUAAAUUUGGAAACUUCCCGAUUUAGAAAGUCCACUAAGAUGUUCGCCUAUUCUUUUCCUUUUCUUAUUCUCAUUCAUAAUUCCAAAUUACGAAUGUUGGACUCAAUCAUAUUGACUUCCAAUCAUGCAAAGAUAAACUAUUUUAUCUCUGACCGUUUAUUCAAAGAUCUCAUGUGCACGAGCAGUGUGACCCUCGAUGGUUCAGGUGUAAGCUAGCCGUGGGCCCACAACCCUUUGUGGUCAAAACUCGUCCCCUUCGAGUUACGAUUAAGAUGAAGCUCGUUUCACCUUAAUCACCCAACGAAUCAAGAUUAGCGUCUAGCAACUACGCGUCAUGAUUCCCUAGAUACAAAUGAAGUGCCUGCAAGAACCUUCAGAUAUAGUUAACGUACAGUACGGUCCCUUCGAUACAUAUGUCCCGAUCGAACUAGAGGCAUUGGUUCAUCGAGACCUCUCUAUAUGUUCGAUGACGGUGCGAUCGUUCUAAGUGUUGUAAUCCUUACGUGCAUGACUUAGAGAAUCAAAUUCUCUAAUCAUCACUUAGUCAGCUCUGGCCAGAGACUUAGAAUGAUUACAAACUUUCAGAACACACAGGACAUCCAAGACUAUUCUAGCGAUCGAAUCCCCGACUACAAUGCACAGACCUCCCACUAGAUUUCGGACUGCACGAACACUGGCCCUUGGGAUGGUCCUCGGUGGAACUCAGGGACAGGUCACGAUACAGCUGGUCCUCUAGUGAAGUCACGGUGAUGUCUAGGUCAUAAGGACUAAUGGUGUACAACUAUACCAUAGAUAUCUCUACUCGAUUAUUGGGAACCACUUAGAGAUUUCUAGGGUGAGGGAGUUCAGUGAACUCGUCAACUUACGAGCACCCACUUGUGCAUGCCGAUAUCACAAUACCGUUUACUGAUGAGAUGCAGUACACAUACACUAAGUGCUAGUCUUAAUGGGAAAGGCCGAUAUCCUCAUUAGUGGCGUAACCCUUCGACUAGGAACACGUUUAACAGUUAUAAUACUUAAGUAAAUAUCUCACGAUCCUAACGAUCAAAUUACUAGUACUUGUAAUAACUGUAAGGACUAUAUCUAUGCUUGUGACAAAGGGACAAAGAUAUAGAAUGCCAAUGUGUUUUAUCAUUAAUACGAAUAAAGGUUCGUUUAUUACAAUAACAAAUACGAAAGACCACAGCCACAAGUUGGCUUGUUGGUCACCUACUCUAACAAUCUCCCACUUGACCUAGAGCCAACUACCCAUAAAUCGCAAUCCCAUCGACUCUCGAUGUUUCUCAUGGACCGAUCUCGGUAAAGGCUUCGUGAAGGGGUCUGCAACGUUCUCUUCCGAGGUGACUCGUUCUACCUUAACUUCACCUCUAUCAAUGAUCUCUCGGAUCACGUGAUACUUCCUCAGAAUAUGCUUUGACUUCUGAUGAGAUCGUGGCUCCUUAGCUUGCGCCACGGCUCCGGUGUUAUCACAGUACAACGGUACUGGAUCACUAGCAUCAGGAAUUACACCCAACUCUUGGAUGAAUUUCCUUAUCCAAGUCCCUUCUUUUGCAGCUUCGGACGCUGCAAUGUAUUCCGCUUCGGUAGUGGAAUCGGCCGUCGUGCUUUGCUUGGAACUCUUCCAACACACGGCACCACCAUUAAGCGUGAAUAUAAAUCCAGAAUUCGACUUCGAGUCGUCCACAUCCGAUUGAAAACUAGAGUCAGUGAAACCCUCUAAUUUCAACUCGGCACCCCCAUAGACCAAAAAUAUAUCCUUAGUUCUUCGCAAGUACUUGAGGAUAUCUUUCACGGCUUUCCAGUGAGCCGGGCCGGGGUUAGACUGAUAUCUGCUUGUGACACUCACAGCAUACGCAAUAUCGGGUCUAGUACAUAGCAUGCCAUACAUUAUGCUUCCUAUGGCAGAAGCAUAGGGCGUUCUUUUCAUCUCCUCGAUUUCACUAGGUGUUUGGGGACACAUAGAUUUCGAGAGACGAACCCCAUGGGACAUUGGCAAGAAUCCCUUCUUGGAUUCUUCCAUGCUAAACCGUUUCAUAACGGUGUCUAUGUACAGGCUUUGGGAUAAGCCAAGCAUCUUUCUUGCUCUAUCUCUAUAGAUGCGUAUUCCCAAUACGUAAGAUGCUUCUCCCAAAUCCUUCAUUGAGAAACGUGUGGACAACCAUGCUUUCGUUUGCUGUAACAUUCCUACGUCAUUCCCAAUGAGUAGAAUGUCAUCAACGUAAAGCACUAGAAAUAUUACUGCCCUCCCACUAACCUUCUUGUAUACACAAGGUUCCUCCGGAUUCUUCUCAAAAUCAAACUCUUUGAUAGUUGAGUCGAACCUAAUGUUCCAACUACGGGAUGCUUGUUUCAAUCCAUAAAUGGAUCGCUGGAGCUUGCAAACCUUUUGCUCACUUCCAGAAGAUAUGAAGCCUUCCGGCUGCGCCAUGUAAAUUUCUUCCUCAAUAUCUCCAUUAAGGAAAGCGGUCUUCACAUCCAUUUGCCAUAUCUCGUAGUCGUACCACGCAGCUAUGGCCAGCAAAAUCCUAAUGGACUUCAGCAUCGCGACUGGCGAAAAGGUUUCCUCAUAGUCAACGCCUUGCCUUUGAGUGUAUCCUUUUGCUACCAAUCUAGCUUUAUAGGUCGAUACCUUUCCAUCAACUCCAAUUUUCUUCUUAUAGAUCCACUUACAGCCUAUAGGAACAAUUCCCUUAGGUGGAUCUACCAAGGUCCACACCUUGUUGGAGUACAUGGAGUCCAUUUCGGAUUUCAUGGCAGUUAGCCAAUGUCCCAUGUCCGCAUCCGAUACGGCCUCGUUGUAUGUUCUUGGAUCUCGUCCAAGAUCAACAUGAUCUUCAUCAUUUCGAGGAGGAAUAACCUAUCCGGCAUUUUCCGAACUCUUUCGGAUCUACGUACCGUAGGUUCAGGAGGUAUAUUAGUGGUUUGUUGUAUUGGUCCGAUUACUUGUUCUUGCGUUUGAACUUCACUUUGUGGUUCUUGAACUACUUCAAGUUCUAUCAUGCUGCCCUUUCUAUCGGAUAGAAACUCCCUUUCCAAAAAGGUGGCAUUUCUCGAAACAAACGUCUUUGCUUCUUUGACAUAGUAGAACUCGUAUCCCAUUGAGUCUUCGGGAUACCCCACAAAAUAGCAUAAGUCGGAUUUACUAUCCAACUUAUCUCCCAUUAAUCGCUUCACAUAAGCGGGACAACCCCAUAUCCUAAUAUGUUUGUAAUUGGGUUUCCGGGAAUGCCAAAGUUCAUACGGUGUGGAUUUAACUGCUUUGGUGUUAACUCUAUUCAGCAAAUACGCGGCAGUACGAAGUGCAUGACCCCAUAAGUAUGCCGGUAAGUUUGUGAACCCCAUCAUUGAUCGAACCAUAUCUAAUAGAGUUCGAUUCCGACGUUCGGAUACUCCAUUAAGUUGAGGAGUUCCCGGUGGAGUCCAUUGGGAUUGUAUCCCAUUCUCUUUUAGAUAGUCAAUGAACUCGAUGCUCAAGUAUUCCCCACCACGAUCGGAUCGCAGCUUCUUAAUACUUCGUCCGAGUUGCUUUUCUACUUCGUGUCUAAAAUCUUUGAACCUUUCAAAUGUUUCAGACUUGUACUUCAUCAAGUAUACAUACCCAUACCUAGAAUAAUCAUCGGUAAAGGUAGCGAAGUAGUUAUAUCCACCCUUCGCACUAACACUUAGUGGACCACAUACGUCUGUAUGGAUCAAAUCCAAAAGACCCUCGGCUCGUUCCAUUUUCCCUUUGUAGGGUGACUUGGUCAUUUUCCCUUUAAGGCAAGAUUCACAAGUUUGUAGUGAUUUCACGUCCUCCAAAGAGAACAAUCCUUCACUAACAAAAUCGUUCAUCCUUCUUAAAGAGACAUGACCUAAUCUAGCGUGCCAAAGUUGUGCGGGGUUUUGAUCUAUCUCCUUACGUUUUGCUGAUAUAACAUUAAUAGGUAUUUCACUUGGAUUUAGUUCAUACAAGUUGUUUAAUAGUCGUCCUUUGCAAAUUAAAUUCUCAUUCUUUUGUAUAAUGCAAAUCGAAUUUCCAAAAACAAAAGUAAAACCUUCAAUAUCUAAUACAGGAAUAGAAAUAAGGUUUCUAAUGAGCGACGGAACAAAUAAACAAUCGUUCAAAACAAUAGGAAAACUAGAAUCCAAAACAUUUAAGUAAAUAGUGCCAAUGGCUUCAGCAGCAACUCUUGCUCCAUUCCCCAUCCUUAGGUAGGUCUCACCCGCUCUAAGUCUUCGACUUCUUGUCAUUAGCUGCAAAUCAUUGCACAAAUGUGAGCCACAGCCCGUAUCCAAUACCCAAGAAGAAGAGUUGACAGGCAAAUUUACGUCAAUGAAAUACGUACCCUUUUCAGAACCUUUCUGCUUUAGGUAAGCCUUGCAGUUGCGGCGCCAAUGUCCUUUCUUUCCACAGUGAUGGCAAGCAUCAUCAACUUGUUUGCUAACCUUUGCUUUGGGGCCCCCACUACCUUCACCCACUUCGAACUUGCUGUUAGGGAAAAGAACUCUUUCCUUUCUCUUCUUUUGGAAAGAACUCUUCUUUCCAGAAGUAGCAGCAACGAGAACAGACUUCUCUUUCUUAAUGGUGGACUCGAAGCUGACCAACAUGUUCAUUAACUCAUCCAAGGGAGGAUCUAGUUUGUUCAUGUUGAAGUUCACUAUGAACGAUUCAUAGGAACUAGGAAGAGACAACAGGAUCAAAUCCAACGAGAGCUCGGCCGGGAGGGUGACAUCAAGAUUCACUAGCUUUUCAAGGAGGGUGAUCAUUUUGAGACAGUGCUCGUGGACCGAAACCCCUUCGCGCAAUCUCGCUGUGAUCAACUCCUUUGUAGCAGCGUAUCUCGAUGCCCUAAUAUUCUCACUAUACAUGCUAUCGAGAUGAGCCUUUAUAUCGAAAGCAUGCAAGUGAGACUCAUAUUUCCUCGCUAGCGCGGGCUCCAUGGCGGCUAUCAUAUAGCACCUAGCAUGGGUGUCAUCUUACUUCCAAACUUCAUAAGUUUCCUUUUCAGCAUCAGUCGCUGUGGCAGGUAUAGUGGCGGGAAGCCUCUCGUUCAAAACGUAGAGACGCCCCUCAACAGUUAGCACAAGCUUAAGACUACGCAACCAAUCUAGGUAAUUAGGGCCAUUGAGUUUUUUGUCGAGGAUUGACAUUAUGGGAUUCUUAGACAUGAUUUUCUGAGACAUAUAGAGAAGAGGAUUAUUAGAGAUUCACGUUAAAUGAUUGUUACAAUUAAAUGUUUGGACUUAUGUUAUUUAAUUGUUCUCCCACUAAUUUUAUCGAGUUCCACUUCCCUCUAGUAGACAAACGAGAAAACUGAUUUUUCUUAAUGGGCUUUAGGUCCAAUAGACAAAUAUAACCCGUAGUUAAUCUAGCCCGAUUAUAUUUGCCCAAAGGUAGAUCACAAUCAAUCAUAUCCACAAUAUGACCCUAAAUUAAUUUUCCUCACACUUGAUAAUGACCUAAGUUAAUCUCGCGAAUAUCAAAAUCGUCGUGUGUCAAGUCUAACCUACCAAUCAAAGAUGCUCAUAGAACUUGAUUAUGCCAAACUAAUGCAGUCCCUAGUUAAUCUAGCCGACCACGUUAAUCCAACAUAACCCUUUUCUAUGGCUACCUUCAUCAAUAUGUCAAUUGAAUUACAGCUUACUCUACCAUAGCACUCCCCGCUAACACGGCUUACUGCACUACAGCAAAGGGCUACACAUAAUCCAACCGUUGGCAGAAGGAAAGAAAUAACUCAACAGAUUGGGUUAUUCUUUAUAGCUUGAAAUGAUUCUCAAUUAGAUUAAGAAUGAGGGGUUUUAUUAAAAGUUUUAUCUCAUCAGAAGGUUCGGAUUGGUCUAUGUGAUUCCUACAUCUAUGUUCUCUAAAGGUAUAUGGAAACGCAUAUUGUCCUAAGAGAAACAUACGACCUAAUUACAUAAUUAAUUACAUUAAUUAAUUAUCGGGUUUUUCAAAAUAAUUAUAGAACCUCAACUAGCAUAAAUCAUUCAUAUAAUGUUGAGGUACUACUAAUUAAGUUGAACUUAUAAUCAAUAUUAUAUAUGUGUUCUAUUAAUUGAAAUUAAUUUAACAAUUUAAAUCAAUUUAAUUAAUCUAACACCUAUUUACUAAAAUAGAUGAUUGUUGAUCCAAUUAUCUAAUUGGGAUUAAUUGAAAAUAAUUUUCCAAAAAUUAAAAUCAAUUUGUUUUAAGUUUAAUUUAAGAAAUCUGAAAUAAAUUUUUUUUUUUUUUUUUUAUUUUCAGUGAACCGGUUCGGCCCAACCGGUCUGACUGGUUCGGACCGAAGCGGUCCGGUUCUGUCCGGUCCAGCUGACCCAAAUCAGUGGGCCGGGUCAGUCGGACCGAGAACCGGUCUGACCGACCCGAAUCCACUUGGAUUCGGUCAACUAAAUCGCACACAACCAUCGAACCGGCCGGUCCGACCGGUUCGAUCCGAACAAUUAAAAACCGACUUUUUUAAAACAAUUUCAGAUCCGAUUUUCCAAUUUUAAACAAUUUUAAAGCUGGAAAAAUUCUAAACAAUAUUUCAAAAAUAUUUUAAACUUACGAAAACUCCCAAUUACAUAAUACAACAAUCACUACUUUAAUAAAUCGAACAUGCAUAAAAUCAUAGCAUAUUAAAACGAACGCAAUUAAUUACGCAACCUGGCUCUGAUACCACUGUUGGGUUUCGGGCACGCAUACGCAGCGGAAAACAAAAAUUUAUGCGAUUUAAACGACUUUAAAAACACAUAAGAACAUGCCCGAUAAAUUAAAUUCAAUUAAUUGCGUACCUUUGCGCUUCCAGCGAAAUUAAAACAACAUACAUGCUAAUAAAUUUAACCGAAUUUAAAUCAAUUAACAUGCUCGCGUUUUAAACCAAAUAACAUGCUCGUAACGAUUUAAUCGAUUACACAUAAUCACAUAAAAUCAUACAAACACAAGCAUGAAAUCAUAGUUUAAACUAAACCCUAAACGAAACUAGGGUUUCGUAUAUUUACCUCUUGACGCGUGAGGUAUGAGCGAUUAGCACUUCGUGAUUACUACGGAAACCAAUCCGUAGAAUCGGGGCAGCAGCGGUGCGUGGGCAGCAGCGGCGCGUGAGGUCACGGCGGCGCGUGUGGUGUACGCGCGGCUUCGGGGCGGCGCGUGGGGCAGCGUGCGGCUUCGGCUCGUGCGUUGCUCCUCGAUUCUUCGAUCUACAGUCUUCCUCCUCUCGGAUUUCACCUCGUAUACUUCGAUCUACUAAAUCGUGGCACUAGACACGAAGUAGUUAGAAUAAAACGGAAAGAAAAUAAAAGGAGAAAGAAUACCGAACAAGAACCGCCGACGAACGGCCGGUUCCGGCGACGGAGCGGCGACGGUGGUGCGGUGGUGGCCGCGCGGGAGAGGGGGCGAGAGAGAGAGGGUCGGCCGCUUAGGGUUAGGGUUUGUGUUGUUUGUGCAAGGGCUAUAAAUCAUGUAUUUAUAGUCCAUUGUAUAAAACCCUAGCGGGCUUAAGUUGGACUGGGCCCAACUGCUUAAGCUCGUUAGUUUCUUUACUCGCUCGUAUCUCUCAAUUCAAUGAUCGAAAAAUUGUAACGAUUACAUUUUAGAGUCAUUAUAAUUUCCUCGUCAUUACGAGUGCCAUCUCUUAUUUUCCAACUUUCCAAAAGUGGAAACCCUAAUUCAGUGCACUUUCUAAAUUUGGAAACUUCCCGAUUUAGAAAGUCCACUAAGAUGUUCGCCUAUUCUUUUCCUUUUCUUAUUCUCAUUCAUAAUUCCAAAUUACGAAUGUUGGACUCAAUCAUAUUGACUUCCAAUCAUGCAAAGAUAAACUAUUUUAUCUCUGACCGUUUAUUCAAAGAUCUCAUGUGCACGAGCAGUGUGACCCUCGAUGGUUCAGGUGUAAGCUAGCCGUGGGCCCACAACCCUUUGUGGUCAAAACUCGUCCCCUUCGAGUUACGAUUAAGAUGAAGCUCGUUUCACCUUAAUCACCCAACGAAUCAAGAUUGGCGUCUAGCAACUACGCGUCAUGAUUCCCUAGAUACAAAUGAAGUGCCUGCAAGAACCUUCAGAUAUAGUUAACGUACAGUACGGUCCCUUCGAUACAUAUGUCCCGAUCGAACUAGAGGCAUUGGUUCAUCGAGACCUCUCUAUAUGUUCGAUGACGGUGCGAUCGUUCUAAGUGUUGUAAUCCUUACGUGCAUGACUUAGAGAAUCAAAUUCUCUAAUCAUCACUUAGUCAGCUCUGGCCAGAGACUUAGAAUGAUUACAAACUUUCAGAACACACAGGACAUCCAAGACUAUUCUAGCGAUCGAAUCCCCGACUACAAUGCACAGACCUCCCACUAGAUUUCGGACUGCACGAACACUGGCCCUUGGGAUGGUCCUCGGUGGAACUCAGGGACAGGUCACGAUACAGCUGGUCCUCUAGUGAAGUCACGGUGAUGUCUAGGUCAUAAGGACUAAUGGUGUACAACUAUACCAUAGAUAUCUCUACUCGAUUAUUGGGAACCACUUAGAGAUUUCUAGGGUGAGGGAGUUCAGUGAACUCGUCAACUUACGAGCACCCACUUGUGCAUGCCGAUAUCACAAUACCGUUUACUGAUGAGAUGCAGUACACAUACACUAAGUGCUAGUCUUAAUGGGAAAGGCCGAUAUCCUCAUUAGUGGCGUAACCCUUCGACUAGGAACACGUUUAACAGUUAUAAUACUUAAGUAAAUAUCUCACGAUCCUAACGAUCAAAUUACUAGUACUUGUAAUAACUGUAAGGACUAUAUCUAUGCUUGUGACAAAGGGACAAAGAUAUAGAAUGCCAAUGUGUUUUAUCAUUAAUACGAAUAAAGGUUCGUUUAUUACAAUAACAAAUACGAAAGACCACAGCCACAAGUUGGCUUGUUGGUCACCUACUCUAACAAUAAAUAGGAUUUAUAUGUCUUGUAAAAGACACACACAAAAAAAACAAGGAAACGUAAGAAUGAAAACCUAGCCUCUCUCCCUCCAUCAGCAGUCCAUGUUGCAGCCAAAACCCUACCUCCACCACCAGCCACCGCACCGCCGCCAGUCGCCGCCGCAUCGGCAUCUUCCUUUUCCCCUCGUUCUUCUUUGUUGUACUUAGCCUAUCACGUAUCUAGUGCUGCGUGGAUAGUGGAUUGAAUAUACGAGGUAAAACCUAAGAGGAGGAAGAUUCUUCUGCCACCAACGCCGCCACCA